GACUCCAUUUUUCGUUUUUUAAAAUAAAAAGUCGAUUUCAAAAAAAAGUUUUGACAAUUACCAUAAAAGAUGUAAUUGUAGCAUGAUUUGGGACUGAACGAGAUGCUACUAUUGGUCUUGGUACAAAUGAGAGUGAUGUUGUUGGAGCUAGUGGUGAUGAUGCAGAUGCUUUGAAUUGCAGAUGUUUGAGCAGGAGCUGGUGGAGGUGUACUCUACAAAAUUCACAUAUUAGGG
This 234-nucleotide long non-coding RNA is filed under the name Gossypium barbadense (sea-island cotton). RNAcentral describes it as "long non-coding RNA (GBAR_LNC019697)". Lineage: Eukaryota; Viridiplantae; Streptophyta; Magnoliopsida; Malvales; Malvaceae. The record is from RNAcentral.